Long non-coding RNA from Lactuca sativa (garden lettuce), 170 nucleotides. RefSeq lists it as uncharacterized. NCBI's taxonomy places the organism in Eukaryota, Viridiplantae, Streptophyta, Magnoliopsida, Asterales, Asteraceae. The record is from RefSeq and is a predicted model, not a curated record.
AGAAGUUGCUAGAUGUGAAUAAUACAAGUAGCAGUAGAAAAGCAAAACAAAAAGUGGGGUUGAAAAGUGACAUGAUUUUCAAUGUCAAACCUUCAUCUGAUGGUCAGUCAAACAAAGUUACAUUUAACUUGACACCAGAGAUGAUUCACCAGAUUUUUGCUGAAAAACCU